RNAcentral lists this transfer RNA (74 nucleotides) under Methanoregula sp. PtaU1.Bin051. RNAcentral's name for it is "tRNA-Thr". It matches the Rfam family "tRNA". Rfam says of the family: Transfer RNA (tRNA) molecules are approximately 80 nucleotides in length. Their secondary structure includes four short double-helical elements and three loops (D, anti-codon, and T loops). The record is from RNAcentral. Lineage: Archaea; Methanobacteriati; Methanobacteriota; Methanomicrobia; Methanomicrobiales; Methanoregulaceae.
AGCCUUUGUGGCAUAGUGGCAUUGCGCCGCCUUGGUAAGGCGGAGGUCGCGGGUUCAAUCCCCGCCAAAGGCUU